GCUGUGACUGCCUCCAUUCAGUCGCUGCAAAGAACUACAUAGCGCUGCCAGCUGGAAGGAACGUCACAUUAGGUUAUGAUGUGUCAGAGCCUACGACGAAAGAGCGCCAGGCAAAACAAUGAACAAGUGAGCCAGGAGGCUGGGCCCCUGUGAAAUUCUAGACUUCUGCAGGCCUCCAGGACGUGACAUGUUACCAGGAGGGCAGAAAUUCACGCCGAGGAACGGCUAAAAACGUGGACUAUCCCAACCCAUUUCUCGAGGCAAUUCCACUCGGUGACGAUUUUUUGGGCCCCAACCCGUGGAGGAAGGAGCAAAGGAACGGCGCCUGGAUUUUCUGGAGAACCUAUGAUGUCAACGUUCUCUUUGAAGCCGAUGUACUCCGAGGACAUCUUAGAAAUGUGCUUAGAAGUGAAUUGCUGGAAUUCAUGAUGGUCAAUAGGGGAAAAAUAAGUGGGGGAAAUAGGAUGGUGGAUGCUUCGCCUAUUGUCUCCCAUAGCUUUGCCUAUGAACACACACACUGACCUGCCAUUUUCCACACACAACCCUGUGUGCAGUCAGUCCGUUGCGAGGGGGGAUUUACAAACUUUCAGAGUCUUCUGCUACACCUUGGAGAGAAUCCAAAAACCCUGGGACAAUUAUAUUCAUUCAGUUCUGCCGUGAAGGAACCAUGACCAUUAAUUUUCUCCAAAAUGGAGCGGAGAAGUUUGCAAAGCUUUAGCUUUGUACUGAACAUGUUUGAACAAAACAGAAGACGAGUCUUUGAAAAACCAAAGAAAACACAUAUUUAUACACACACAAAGCAAGAAAAGGGGGGAGGGUGUAGAAGAAAGAACGUACAGUACUUGUAUAACGUGAGACGGAGAGUUACAAUUUCUUGGCUAAAUUUGCAUUCCAGGGGGGAAUUAUAUGCAGUUAAUGCUAAAAUAUCCCCGUACGGGGCAUUCUGCUUUCCCUUGAUGGCUCAAAAUCUAUGUUCCUUGCCCAGCAUGUUGAUGGAAUGAGAGAAUUCCCUUCCAACCCUAUAUUUAUUAUAGGGGCUUUCGUGGCGAGUGACGGGCAGACCCAACAGAUUUCCUUGUUGAUGGAAGGGCUAGAAAUGCUAAUAUAAAGAUUACUGCGGGAAUCUGUCAUGGGGAUUCUGCAGCGGUGUGGGGAGCAACUGGUCCGAAAAGCCAAAAUUACAGACUAUUUAUGGACAAAGAAAAUUCAGUGGUGGAACCACCAAUGGGCUGAAAUGCGAGGAAGAAUAAAGAGAUGCCACAAAAGCCACCAGUGGCAGGAAGAUGGAAAGGAUACCUAUGGUUUGUGUGUGUUUUAAAAUGUUUCCUUUAAAAUAACAACACAUACUACAAAUAAAUCAUUACACCAGAUGGGUAUGUUGAGGAAGUUAUAAAUAUAUCUGGGCACCCAAAGAGCUACUUUUGGAUUGCCGGUCUUCUAGUGUGCUUAUGAAAUGUUAACUUCCACAGCUUCCUAUUGACUUUGUUGGCUGUGUGAACCCCUUUAACUAUCCCUGUGUAGAUAUUCCGGGGUGCUAUCCCACCCCCGCACUGUUUGUAUGCCCAAAUUCGCAUGAAAAUAUACUUACAUGUCCCCACAGUAGUGAAUUAAGAUCUACACUUUAAAAAAAAAGGUUUUACACACAGUUCAUACAUUAGGGAUGCAAUCUUAUGCCCAUUUACCUGGGAGUAGGUACCACUGAACUUAGUGGGGCUUACUUCUGAGUAGUCAUUCUUAGAAUUGCACUGUAAAUGCUGCAAUCCUAUACUUGCAAAAGGAGCAAACCUUGCCGACUUCAGUAGGACUUACUUCUGAUCAGAGUGUAUAGAACUGUGCUAUAACUCUGUUUAUAAACAGUAUAUAUUUUAGUGGAAACAUGUUUAUUUCUAAUUUUUGUAGGGGUGAGAAGAUAUAUGAAUUUGCAUCACCGGGUUCUAGCACUUUACAAAUGGAAGGUAUUGGAUUCAUGUCUUAAUCGGGUCAGGCUGGUUUCUGGACUUUUGACAGAAAUAUCAUACAGCAUGGAAAAAAUCCGUCCAGGUGACAAAAGUUCUCUAACAAUAAUGUACUGGGGGAAAUAAACUUACCGCUCUCAUAGACUUUCUGUCUCCUACACUAGAUAAUACCUAAGUUCCAAAGGAACAAUCAGUAUAAUAUUGACAAUUGUUCCCAAACAAUUGAUGGGCUUUGAUUUAAUUAUUUUAAAAACACACCCCUCAUUUCUAAAUCAGAUCAUAUACUUUGCAAUCAAACUAAUAAAGAAUUUGGCAUUUGCUUCCUC
Podarcis muralis (Common wall lizard) is the source of this 2281-nucleotide long non-coding RNA. RefSeq lists it as uncharacterized. The record is from RefSeq and is a predicted model, not a curated record. Lineage: Eukaryota; Metazoa; Chordata; Lepidosauria; Squamata; Lacertidae.